RNAcentral lists this small RNA (108 nucleotides) under Lutibacter sp. RNAcentral's name for it is "6S RNA". It matches the Rfam family "6S-Flavo RNA". The record is from RNAcentral. Lineage: Bacteria; Pseudomonadati; Bacteroidota; Flavobacteriia; Flavobacteriales; Flavobacteriaceae.
ACUCAACACGAUUUUAUUCAAAAAGGUGAGUCUUAUAUGUUAAAGCGUGCCGUCUUAGAACGGAUACUUGAUCAUAUAGUUAGCCUUAAACUUGUUUGAAUGGAGUUU